RNAcentral lists this transfer RNA (72 nucleotides) under Cavia porcellus (domestic guinea pig). It matches the Rfam family "tRNA". From Rfam's summary of the family: Transfer RNA (tRNA) molecules are approximately 80 nucleotides in length. Their secondary structure includes four short double-helical elements and three loops (D, anti-codon, and T loops). Further hydrogen bonds mediate the characteristic L-shaped molecular structure. tRNAs have two regions of fundamental functional importance: the anti-codon, which is responsible for specific mRNA codon recognition, and the 3' end, to which the tRNAs corresponding amino acid is attached (by aminoacyl-tRNA synthetases). tRNAs cope with the degeneracy of the genetic code in two manners: having more than one tRNA (with a specific anti-codon) for a particular amino acid; and 'wobble' base-pairing, i.e. permitting non-standard base-pairing at the 3rd anti-codon position. Lineage: Eukaryota; Metazoa; Chordata; Mammalia; Rodentia; Caviidae. The record is from Rfam by way of RNAcentral.
UAGGGUGUACCUCAGAGGUAGAGUACUUAUCUAGCAUGUAUGAGGCCCUGGGUUCAAUCCUCAGCACCACAA